RNAcentral lists this transfer RNA (76 nucleotides) under Sphingomonas sp. Leaf22. Its description in RNAcentral is "tRNA-Ala". Lineage: Bacteria; Pseudomonadati; Pseudomonadota; Alphaproteobacteria; Sphingomonadales; Sphingomonadaceae. The record is from RNAcentral.
GAAGCCUUUGAAAACCGGCGUGUCGCGUGCAAUCGCACUGCAGAGGUCAGGGGUUCGAUUCCCCUCAGCUCUACCA